RNAcentral lists this transfer RNA (85 nucleotides) under Curtobacterium flaccumfaciens. Its description in RNAcentral is "tRNA-Leu". It matches the Rfam family "tRNA". Rfam says of the family: Transfer RNA (tRNA) molecules are approximately 80 nucleotides in length. Their secondary structure includes four short double-helical elements and three loops (D, anti-codon, and T loops). RNAcentral also lists the same sequence under 15 other names. Lineage: Bacteria; Bacillati; Actinomycetota; Actinomycetes; Micrococcales; Microbacteriaceae. The record is from RNAcentral.
GCGAGUGUGGUGGAAUCGGCAGACACGGGGCACUCAAAAUGCUCUGCCUCACGGCGUGCGGGUUCAAGUCCCGCCACUCGUACGA